AAGCUUCCAAGAAAAGCCUCUAAGCUUCAGUUGAAGAGUGACCGUACCGCAAACCGACACAGGUGGGCAGGGUGAGAAUCCUAAGGCGCUUGAGAGAACUCUGGAGAAGGAACUCGGCAAAUUGACACCGUAACUUCGGGAUAAGGUGUGCCUCUAUUACGUGAAGACCCUCGCGGUCGGAGCGGUAAGAGGUUGCAGUGAAAAGGUGGCUGCGACUGUUUAACAAAAACACAGCACUGUGCAAACACGAAAGUGGACGUAUACGGUGUGACGCCUGCCCGGUGCCGGAAGGUUAAGUGAUGGGGUGCAAGCUCUUGAUCGAAGCCCCGGUAAACGGCGGCCGUAACUAUAACGGUCCUAAGGUAGCGAAAUUCCUUGUCGGGUAAGUUCCGACCCGCACGAAUGGCGUAACGAUGGCCACACUGUCUCCUCCAGAGACUCGGCGAAAUUGAAGUGUUUGUGAAGAUGCAAUCUCCCCGCGGCUAGACGGAAAGACCCCAUGAACCUUUACUGCAGCUUUGCAUUGGACUUUGACGGGACAUGUGUAGGAUAGGUGGGAGGCUGUGAAGCGGUGACGCUAGUCAUCGUGGAGCCAACCUUGAAAUACCACCCUUGUGUCUUUGAGGUUCUAACCUAGACCCCUUAUCGGGGUCGGGGACCGUGCAUGGUAGGCAGUUUGACUGGGGCGGUCUCCUCCCAAAAGGUAACGGAGGAGCACGAAGGUUGGCUAGACACGGUCGGAAAUCGUGUUGAUAGUGCAAGGGCAUAAGCCAGCUUAACUGCGAGACCCACAAGUCGAGCAGAUGCGAAAGCAGGUCCUAGUGAUCCGGUGGUUCUGUAUGGAAGGGCCAUCGCUCAACGGAUAAAAGGUACUCUGGGGAUAACAGGCUGAUUCCGCCCAAGAGUUCACAUCGACGGCGGAGUUUGGCACCUCGAUGUCGGCUCAUCUCAUCCUGGGGCUGUAGCCGGUCCCAAGGGUAUGGCUGUUCGCCAUUUAAAGAGGUACGUGAGCUGGGUUCAAAACGUCGUGAGACAGUUUGGUCCCUAUCUGCCUUGGGCGCUGGAGAUUUGACGGGGGCUGCUCCUAGUACGAGAGGACCGGAGUGGACGAACCUCUGGUGUACCGGUUAUCACGCCAGUGGUAUCGCCGGGUAGCUAAGUUCGGAAGAGAUAAACGCUGAAAGCAUCUAAGCGUGAAACUCGCCUGAAGAUGAGAUCUCCCGGAGGCUUGACCUCCUUGAAGGGUCGUU
This 1250-nucleotide ribosomal RNA is filed under the name metagenome. RNAcentral's name for it is "bacterial LSU rRNA". It matches the Rfam family "Bacterial large subunit ribosomal RNA", at positions 1602 to 2925 of the family's 2925-position model. The record is from RNAcentral.